UACGUAGGGACCAAGCGUUGUUCGGAUUUACUGGGCGUAAAGGGCGCGUAGGCGGCAAUUCAAGUCAUCUGUGAAAUCUCCGGGCUUAACUCGGAACGGUUAGAUGAUACUGCUUUGCUAGAGUGCGGAAGGGGCAAUCGGAAUUCUUGGUGUAGCGGUGAAAUGCGUAGAUAUCAAGAGGAACACCUGAGGUGAAGACGGGUUGCUGGGCCGACACUGACGCUGAUAGCGCGAAAGCCAGGGGAGCAAACAGG
This 254-nucleotide ribosomal RNA is filed under the name uncultured bacterium. RNAcentral's name for it is "partial 16S ribosomal RNA". It matches the Rfam family "Bacterial small subunit ribosomal RNA", at positions 524 to 776 of the family's 1533-position model. The record is from RNAcentral.